Long non-coding RNA from Malaclemys terrapin pileata, 3356 nucleotides. RefSeq lists it as uncharacterized. The record is from RefSeq and is a predicted model, not a curated record. The transcript is spliced from 2 exons. NCBI's taxonomy places the organism in Eukaryota, Metazoa, Chordata, Testudines, Emydidae.
ACUGCAAGGACCUUUGUCUGAAUGUGUAUAAAGGAUCUGUAAAAUGUGUGUAAGACAGAGUUUUUGUACUAAGGUGCAAAGCUCUCCUUUCUUCUGCAGAAUAAAGCAACUCUUCCUUAUCCCUGUCUGGCUGUUAUUGGCUCUCAGCUAGGUGGACCUGAUAUUUCGGUAACAGUUUCUGGCGACUCCGCCAGGACUCUCCUAGCUCGGACAUUGGACUCCGGACGGCUGCGGCGAAUUGGGAACGGCGCCAAUGGGGUGUUUCACCCCUUUUCUCUGCUUCACCGCAGCCCCUGGGGUUUGUGCUCCGAUAAGGUGAGUCCUAAUAGGAUAAGGAGACACUAUCUGGUUCUGGUCUGGUUAACCGGUUAAUGAAUUUCUGUCUUAUACAUUUGGGCGUUAGGUGUGUGGAUGGAACUGAGCCUCUCAUUCAUAAUUCCUCAGAGUGGAAGCCAUCGCGUGCGAUGAAGCUCUGAGGUCGAAUUGGGAUCCUUCUGUCCCGUCCCCUGUAGCGGUCAGUAUUAGUAGAAAUUCCUGUAAUAGGAUCCUAUUAGGCCAUAAUUCCCUCUGUGCUCUGUGUAAUUCUCUGUUAGAGUGUCAGCAGGCAGAUGGGUGGGUCUCUGGUAAAACCCUCUGAGGAUAGCCCUUUAGAUUAUAUGUUAAGUAAAUGGUCUUUACCCGGUGUUUAAAAAGAAAUAGUUACACCUUGUGUAGAAAUUGAUGUGGCUAGUGUUGUGGAAAUUGAAUUGUGGAGAGGAUGUGCAUUUUCCCCAGAACAUGUGCAGUGUAUAUUGUAGCAGAGGUAAAAGAAAUGCAAACCUACCAAUAUAGGUUGUGUUGUCUUUUUCAGAUCACUGGGUGUUUGAAAGCAGGAGUUAGAAGUAAAAGGCAAUCAAAAGUCUGGGAAAGUUAAUUGUGUCCCUUUUUUUUUAAGUAAGAAUCUUUAAGCUGUGGAUAGCUUUGGAUCUGGAAGCAAGCCAGAAAGCAUCCGUAUUAAUGCAAUUUUCUAACUAAUAAAGUAGUAGCCACUGAAACCUGGGCUGCCUAUGAAAUAAAUACAAGGAAAUAUGGGGUAAUUCUGUUUUGCCUAAAAUCUACAAGAGUAUGUGUAUAUAAAGGAAAUAUUUUAAGCAAUGACUGACUGCCCAGAAGGGGUAGACCUCUGUUCUUUUGUCUUUCAGAUCAUCAGAGAAAACGGAUGCCAGCUGAAUAGCAUUCAACGUACCAUGCAUUUACUGGCACAAUAGGAAUUAUUUUUGUGUUCUAUGGCCAAAAUUGUUGUUAAAAUUUGCAUACCAACAGUCUUUGGAAGCAAGGACAUGGAAGGUUAACCCAUUCCCCAUAUUGCCCAUGGGAUCCUUCUGGCUACCUCAGAUUUCUAGCCAGAGGGCUGGGGAGGGAGGAAAGCUAUUGGACACAAGAGGUUGUACCGAGUGGACUCCUCAAAGAUAAAAGAAGUGCUACCCAAAGACCCUAGCAGCCCUGCCAUUCAUUGAAACAAGGAGACUGAGUCUACGUAAAGUCUAUCAAUGAAAGACUACUUUGGCUCCCCACUGGAAAGGCCCUUUCCAAGUCCUGUUAACCACCAACACCGCUGUGAAGUGCCAAGGACUACCUGCCUGGACCCAUGCUUCUCACUUAAAAAGACCCCUCAACCUCGGGAGGACUCUCUGACUGAUAAGCCUAUUUCUCCUUCUAGCUCUGCUGUGCCUUCUGGACAGCAGGAAAAAGGAAAAAAGACAAGGUGAAGUGCUAGUAACCUCUCCCUUGUCCACUGACAGACCUACUGUGCCUUUGGAUUUUUCUAGAAGAAGCAAAACCAUUACAGGGUGAUGUGCUAGUAACCUCUCCCCUGUAUGAUGCUAAACCACACUGUUUCAGGAAAAGAGAAGAAGGAACACUUGCUUCAUUGGAACCACCAAAGUCCAGGGAUUCCUGACUACAAGAGACAUUAAGAACUGACCCUGGUGAAGAAACAAAGAAUUAUACACUGGCAGGAAGAAACUUGUGGGACCCAUGCUUGAGAAUGUGGUAUAGUACUACACCAAAAAGAAAUGUAUUAGGAUAUCAAUGAACUGUGAUUAACACUACACUAGGGACUGUUAAAUUUUCAUUACCCUUAUUCAGUUUCCAGAUCACCUCUACAUACCCAAUUGCUCACAGGGGGCUGCCAUUAGAUUAGCACAACAGAGGGCUUGGGUUAUUUCCUCUAGAAAGAAAAGUGACUUGACCGGAUCCCUAUGGGAUGGGGCCAAUAGUGCAGCAGCAGUUUGGAAUAUUUUUAAGAACCAAAACAUGAUGAGAAAUUGGGGCACAGCUAACCCAGGUACAGGCUGGAAUUGGUGAGUUACAUGUUAUCUCCGCCCUUAGUUCUAUGACCCAGAAGUUGCUGACAGAAAUGGUAUUGAAUAUCACUAAGGCUGGGAAGGCAUUGCAGUGGGAUCUAGCAUGUUCAGAAAUUCAGGAUUUCCUGAGUGACCAGCUAAUGGCCAUUCGGAAUGAUCUAGAGCAUCAGGCUUGGCCCACUGCCCUUACAGACACAUCAGGAGUACCAUCUGAUCUGUGGCCAUGGAGACAUACUUGGAAACUUUCUGGGUGGAAGUACAAACAUUCUCAAUGCUUCUUCCAAGCAUAUGAACCAAUUAGGGGGGGACUUGUGCUCGCAUCGGGGAAAAAUGUUGUUUCUAUGUUAAUUAUUCUGGCUUAAUUGAGCAGGAUUUACAAGCCAUUAAGAAUGUUGCUGUUGUUUUCCGUGCUUUAUCACUUGAUCACACCUUUAGUUUUGAGGACCUCCUUCCAGACCUUGGGUCAUGGUUUACGGGGCUCUUUCAAACAAUUGUUAAAUGGAUUCUUUUCUUUCUAUGUGUUAUUUGGACAAUGAUACAAUGUGCCAAAUGCCUGUGUAAUGCUAUGAUCAAAAGCUCUGCUGUCCAUAAGAAAACCCAGUAUCUGUCCCUCCAGCUUGAUCACAAAUUGCAUAACGGGCCUGACAAUUUUUGAAUUUGUCAGGCCCGAAGGGGGGACUGUGAAAGUUACUAGUGACCCCCCCUUAACAGAGCAGCCUUUAUGUCAACCAGUGGCCAUUAGGGGGAAGCAGACACUUCAAGUACACAGUAGCCUGAACUUUUCAACUGUCUUCCCUUCAAGGCCUAAAGGUAGUUGGAGCUGGUCCCAAGCCGGUUUUCACUGACCAGAUAGCAAAAGCCCGGGUCUGACAACCACCAAUCAAGUGUUAACACUGCAAGGACCUUUGUCUGAAUGUGUAUAAAGGAUCUGUAAAAUGUGUGUAAGACAGAGUUUUUGUACUAAGGUGCAAAGCUCUCCUUUCUUCUGCAGAAUAAAGCAACUCUUCCUUA